This 791-nucleotide long non-coding RNA is filed under the name Trifolium pratense (red clover). RNAcentral's name for it is "long non-coding RNA (TPRA_LNC008570)". The record is from RNAcentral. Lineage: Eukaryota; Viridiplantae; Streptophyta; Magnoliopsida; Fabales; Fabaceae.
AAAUGCAAACCCGAGUUGAUUCCGAUCCUUAGAGAUGAAAAUAAAGUUGCUGAUAAACUCGCUAAGAAAGCUCACAACUUCACUUCUUUCAAUCUGCAACACUUUGUAAACAGAUCAGAUAUUCUUUAGAUAAGGAAUUUGGUGAUGCUUCUACGAUAUGAUUCAAUGUUUCCAGUAUGGUUUGUUUUUUUUUGGUUACAAGUAUGGUUUGUUUAUGUUCGAUGUAGUUUGCUUGUUUUGUUUUUAUUGUUGAACUUUUAAUUACUUCCCCCUUCAAUGUAGGGAGGGAGGAAGAAGAAGAAUAUGUAUUGUAAGUGUGCUUGUCUGUAUUGCUGCGUAGUCUGAAGUAGUAAUAGAUAGGGACGUCCGAUUUUAAAUUGUCGAGAUCAUUUUUACUUAACUGUACCAUAUGUAAUUUAAUUAAACUCUUUAACUUCAACAGUCAGGCUAAGCGCAGAUAUGCAAAUCAUAAUUCCACGCGAACUAAACAUGCUCUAAGAUUCAAGUACCAUUGCAUAGAGUUAUAUUCUAAAUUGUUUAGGAGCUGGUGGAGUUGUUCGUGACCAUGAUGGUAGCUGGAUAGCAGGGUUCACUCACUUUGUUAUGAUCUCGGCUAUAAAAACAUCAGUUGUGAGAGUGAUUGUUUAUAGAAGCGGUCAACCUUAUUCACAAAUCUGGAAAAUGCAAGUUUGCAUGUGUAUGCCUCUGUGUUACUAGUAACCUUGGAUGUCAUACAUCAUGGGACUGUAAACUUAGUUCACAUUCUCAGGGAGCAAAAUAUAUGUUAAGAG